GACGAACGCUGGCGGCGUGCUUAACACAUGCAAGUCGAACGAGACGAUUGAAAGCUUGCUUUCGAAAGUCGAGUGGCAAACGGGUGAGUAACGCGUAGACAACCUGCCUUUGAGAUGGGGACAACAGUUCGAAAGGACUGCUAAUACCGAAUGUUGUAUAUUUUCCACAUGGAAGAUAUAUUAAAGAUGGCCUCUAUUUAUAAGCUAUCGCUCAAAGAUGGGUCUGCGUCUGAUUAGCUGGUUGGUGGGGUAACGGCCUACCAAGGCGACGAUGAGUAGCCGGUCUGAGAGGAUGAACGGCAACAUUGGGACUGAGACACGGCCCGGACUCCUACGGGAGGCAGCAGUGGGGAAUCUUCCACAAUGGACGAAAGUCUGAUGGAGCAACGCCGCGUGAGUGAAGAAGGGUUUCGGCUCGUAAAGCUCUGUUGUCGGGGACGAAUGUGCAGUAUUUGAAUAAAGUACUGCAAUGACGGUACCUGACGAGGAAGCCACGGCUAACUACGUGCCAGCCGCCGCCGUAA
This 524-nucleotide ribosomal RNA is filed under the name uncultured bacterium. Its description in RNAcentral is "partial 16S ribosomal RNA". It matches the Rfam family "Bacterial small subunit ribosomal RNA", at positions 28 to 523 of the family's 1533-position model. The record is from RNAcentral.